AGUGAACGCUGGCGGCAGGCCUAACACAUGCAAGUCGAGCGGCAGCGGGUUCCCGCGAGGGGAUGCCGGCGAGCGGCGGACGGGUGAGGAACACAUCGGAAUCUGCCUGGUUGUGGGGGAUAACGUAGGGAAACUUACGCUAAUACCGCAUGCGACCCUGAGUCGACGGACUGGGGGUGGAAAGUGAGGGACCUUCGGGCCGUCACGCGACCAGAUGAGCCGAUGUCGGA
Molecule: ribosomal RNA, 230 nt
Filed under: uncultured bacterium
Lineage: Bacteria
Description: partial 16S ribosomal RNA
Rfam family: Bacterial small subunit ribosomal RNA
Source: RNAcentral